UACGUAGGGCGCAAGCGUUGUCCGGAAUUAUUGGGCGUAAAGAGCUCGUAGGCGGUUUGUCGCGUCUGCUGUGAAAACCUAAGGCUCAACCUUGGGCUUGCAGUGGGUACGGGCAGACUAGAGUGCGGUAGGGGUGACUGGAAUUCCGUGGUGUAGCGGUGGAAUGCGCAGAUAUCAGGAGGAACACCGAUGGCGAAGGCAGGUCACUGGGCCGCAACUGACGCUGGAGGAGCGAAAGCAUGGGGAGCGAAC
RNAcentral lists this ribosomal RNA (252 nucleotides) under uncultured bacterium. Its description in RNAcentral is "partial 16S ribosomal RNA". It matches the Rfam family "Bacterial small subunit ribosomal RNA", at positions 524 to 773 of the family's 1533-position model. The record is from RNAcentral.